GGGCGGUUAGCUCAGUGGUUUAGAGCGCUGCGUUGACAUCGCAGAGGUCAUAAGUUCGACUCUUAUACCGCCCACCA
RNAcentral lists this transfer RNA (77 nucleotides) under Chloroflexota bacterium. RNAcentral describes it as "Chloroflexi bacterium tRNA-Val". It matches the Rfam family "tRNA". From Rfam's summary of the family: Transfer RNA (tRNA) molecules are approximately 80 nucleotides in length. Their secondary structure includes four short double-helical elements and three loops (D, anti-codon, and T loops). RNAcentral also lists the same sequence under 2 other names. Lineage: Bacteria; Bacillati; Chloroflexota. The record is from RNAcentral.